RNAcentral lists this ribosomal RNA (269 nucleotides) under uncultured anaerobic ammonium-oxidizing bacterium. Its description in RNAcentral is "partial 16S ribosomal RNA". It matches the Rfam family "Bacterial small subunit ribosomal RNA", at positions 565 to 832 of the family's 1533-position model. The record is from RNAcentral.
GAGCACGUAGGUGGGUUUGUAAGUCAGAUGUGAAAGCCUUCUGUUCAACGGAAGAAUUGCAUCUGAAACUGCGAGUCUUGAGUGUAGGAGGGGAGAAUGGAACUUCUGGUGGAGCGGUGAAAUGCGUAGAUAUCAGAAGGAACGCCGGCGGCGAAAGCGAUUCUCUGGCCUAUUACUGACACUCAGUGUGCGAAAGCUAGGGGAGCAGACGGGAUUAGAUACCCCGGUAGUCCUAGCCGUAAACGAUGGGCACUAAGUAGAGGGGUUUU